AUUGAACGCUGGCGGCAUGCCUUACACAUGCAAGUCGAACGGCAGCACGGGAGCAAUCCUGGUGGCGAGUGGCGAACGGGUGAGUAAAGUAUCGGAACGUGCCCAGUCGUGGGGGAUAACGUAGCGAAAGUUACGCUAAUACUGCAUACGAUCUAUGGAUGAAAGCGGGGGAUCGCAAGACCUCGCGCGAUUGGAGCGGCCGAUAUCAGAUUAGGUAGUUGGUGGGGUAAAGGCUCACCAAGCCGACGAUCUGUAGCUGGUCUGAGAGGACGACCAGCCACACUGGGACUGAGACACGGCCCAGACUCCUACGGGAGGCAGCAGUGGGGAAUUUUGGACAAUGGGCGAAAGCCUGAUCCAGCCAUGCCGCGUGCAGGAUGAAGGCCUUCGGGUUGUAAACUGCUUUUGUACGGAACGAAAAGGUUUGGGCUAAUAAGCUGAGCUCAUGACGGUACCGUAAGAAUAAGCACCGGCUAACUACGUGCCAGCCGCCGCGGUAA
RNAcentral lists this ribosomal RNA (500 nucleotides) under uncultured bacterium. Its description in RNAcentral is "partial 16S ribosomal RNA". It matches the Rfam family "Bacterial small subunit ribosomal RNA", at positions 30 to 523 of the family's 1533-position model. The record is from RNAcentral.